RNAcentral lists this microRNA precursor (74 nucleotides) under Haemonchus placei. RNAcentral's name for it is "mir-5928 microRNA precursor family". Lineage: Eukaryota; Metazoa; Nematoda; Chromadorea; Rhabditida; Trichostrongylidae. The record is from Rfam by way of RNAcentral.
GGCCCAAGUUUGAAGUAGAGUAGAUAGGAGGAUCAUCUGCCCCUACUAAACUACUUCACUUCGAGUUUGUGCCC